CCCAGACAGCCAGGAUGUUGGCUUAGAAGCAGCCAUCAUUUAAAGAAAGCGUAAUAGCUCACUGGUCGAGUCGGCCUGCGCGGAAGAUGUAACGGGGCUAAACCAUGCACCGAAGCUGCGGCAGCGACGCUUAUGCGUUGUUGGGUAGGGGAGCGUUCUGUAAGCCUGUGAAGGUGGCCUGUGAGGGUUGCUGGAGGUAUCAGAAGUGCGAAUGCUGACAUAAGUAACGAUAAAGCGGGUGAAAAGCCCGCUCGCCGGAAGACCAAGGGUUCCUGUCCAACGUUAAUCGGGGCAGGGUGAGUCGACCCCUAAGGCGAGGCCGAAAGGCGUAGUCGAUGGGAAACGGGUUAAUAUUCCCGUACUUGGUGUUACUGCGAAGGGGGGACGGAGAAGGCUAUGUUGGCCGGGCGACGGUUGUCCCGGUUUAAGCGUGUAGGCUGGUUUUCCAGGCAAAUCCGGAAAAUCAAGGCUGAGGCGUGACGACGAGGCACUACGGUGCUGAAGCAACAAAUGCCCUGCUUCCAGGAAAAGCCUCUAAGCAUCAGGUAACAUCAAAUCGUACCCCAAACCGACACAGGUGGUCAGGUAGAGAAUAC
Molecule: ribosomal RNA, 596 nt
Filed under: Salmonella enterica subsp. enterica serovar Uganda
Lineage: Bacteria; Pseudomonadati; Pseudomonadota; Gammaproteobacteria; Enterobacterales; Enterobacteriaceae
Description: partial 23S ribosomal RNA
Rfam family: Bacterial large subunit ribosomal RNA
Source: RNAcentral